CACCACCCUAGGCCAACGUACUGCUUUGC
RNAcentral lists this non-coding RNA (29 nucleotides) under Mus musculus (house mouse). Lineage: Eukaryota; Metazoa; Chordata; Mammalia; Rodentia; Muridae. The record is from RNAcentral.